This 371-nucleotide long non-coding RNA is filed under the name Pan troglodytes (chimpanzee). RNAcentral's name for it is "long non-coding RNA NONPTRT008366". The record is from RNAcentral. Lineage: Eukaryota; Metazoa; Chordata; Mammalia; Primates; Hominidae.
GAAACCCCUAGUUAGCUGGGCAGGUGGAGGGCAGAGAGGCCUGUCUUUGUAAAUUCUCAGUCUUGAGAAGGAGCAGUGUGGAUGGAGUUUUUGCCUUCCUGCCUUAUAUGUUGAUGUGAUGAUUGAGUUAAAAUAGGCAAAGAGCUUAGAAGAGUGCCUGGCAGGUAGCGGGUUCCCUAAGUAUUAACUUUUACGAGGAUGAUGUUUAUUCCCUAUCACAAGCAGUGCCGCAAGGAAAUCCUUGUUCUGCCCUGGUUUUCAGGACAGCAGGCUGGCUUAUAUGCUCAAGAGCAGGACUGGAAAUGCUGGGAGCGCAAAGAUACCUGCCUCAUGGAGCGGACAUUCUGGUGGGCAGAGGGGAUGCCUUGUUC